RNAcentral lists this long non-coding RNA (4077 nucleotides) under Canis lupus familiaris (dog). Its description in RNAcentral is "lncRNA (ENSCAFG00845007670.1)". The record is from RNAcentral. Lineage: Eukaryota; Metazoa; Chordata; Mammalia; Carnivora; Canidae.
UUUUUUUUUUUUUUUUUUUUUUUUUUUUAGUACAGGCUCAACACAGAGGGAGAAGAUAAAAACACCCAUCUUCUAGUAUUUCCCUGGAAGAGGCUUACUGCAUAAUUUCCCAGCUGCUGUCUGGCUUCUAAUCAGCCUGCAGUUGCUUGCCAACUGGAUACUUCCCUUGGAACACUGAUGGACCUUGGCACACCCUCAACGACUAGGAGCCACUAAGAAUGAAGAAGGUGGCUUGGAUAAUCGUAAGAGUUUGAGAGACAACCAGGAACUUGGGCCAGGUUGAUUGACAAGGUUCAUCUUCUACACAAGACCACUCUCUGAAAACUGGGAAUGGUGGCUAUUUUAUAUAAUGCACAGAAACCAACAGAGACAGUAAAGAAAAUGAAGAAAUAAGACUGUGUUCCAAACAAAGGAACAAUAUAAAUCAGAAACUAAUCUUAAUGAAAUAGAUAAGUAAUUGAGCUAAUAAAGUUCAAAAUAAUAGUUAUAAAUAUGCUCACAGAGGUCAGAAGAGUAAUGGAGGAAUGAAGUGUAAAUUUCAACAGAGGUAGAAAAUAUUAAAAAGCACCAAACAGAAAUUACAGAGGUGAAGAAUACAAUCUCUGAACUAGGAAAUUCAAUAAAGGAGUUUAACAGCAGACUAGAUCAAGUGGAAGAAAGAAUCCAUAAAUUCAGAGGUAAGGCAGUGGAAUUAAUCCAAUCAGAGGAGCAAAAAGAAAAAAUUACAAAAAAGAGUGAGGUAACUUAAGGGAACAACAAGCCAAUACACAUUACAGGGCAUCCUAGAAGAAAAUGAGAGACAAGGGGGAAGAAAGUAUAAUCAAAGAAAUAAUGACUGAAAACUUCCCUAACCUGAGAAAAGAAGUAUAUAUCCAGAUCUAGGAAGCACAAAGAGUACCAAAGAAGAAUCUAAGAGAUCCACAUGGAGACACAUUGUAUUUAAAUUGUCAAAAGUUAAAGAUAAAGAGAAUCUUAAAAGCAGUAUGAAAAAAGCAAAUUAUUACAUACAAAAGACUCUGGUAAGACUAUGAGCAGGUUUUUCAGCAGAAAUUUUGCAGAACAGAAGGGAGUGGGAUAAUAUAUUCAAAGUGCUGAAAUUAAAAAUAACUGCCAACCAUGAAUACUCUUCCCAACAAAGUUGUCCGUCAGAGUUGAAGGAGUUAUAAUGAGUUUUCCUGACAAAUAAAAGAUAAAGGAGUUCAUCACCCCUAGACCAGCCUUAUAAGAAAUGUUAAAGGGAGUUCUUUAAGCUGAAAUGAAAGGAUGAUAAUUAAUCAUUUUAAAACAUAUGAUAGUGUAAAAUUCACUGAUAUAGUUAAAUAUGUAGUUAAAAUAUAGUUAAAUCUAGAAUACUCUAAUAAUGUAAUGGUUAUGGUUAAAUCAAUUAUAACUCUAACAUAAAGUUUAAAAAGACAAAAGUGUUAUAAACUAAAUAAUUUGUUAAUUACACAAUAUAAAAAUAUAUAAUUUGUAACACCAAAAACAUAAAAUGUGGACAAGAAAUAUAAAAAUAUAGAGCUUCUAUAAAUAUUCAAAGUUAAAUUGUUACCACUUUAAAAUAGUUUUUUUUAACUGUAAGAUGUUUUAUGUAAGCCUCAAGGUAACCACAAGGCCAAAAACUUGAUACAAAAUAGAUAAAGAGAAAGAAAACAAAAUCUACUAUUACAGAAAAUCAUUAAAUCAAAAUGGAAGACAACAAGAAUGGAAGGAACAAAGGAGCUGCAAAAUGGCCAGAAAACAACAAAAUGUUAAUAGUAAGUCCAUGCCUUUCAAUAAUUAUUUUAAAUGUAAAAGGACUAAAUUCUGUAAUCAAAAGCCAGAGUAGAUAAAAAUCAAGAUAAAAAGGAUACAAGAUAAAAACAUGGAUUUAAAAAAACAAGACCCAAUUAUAUAUGGCCUACAAGAGACUCACCUUAGCUUUAACAACACAUGAAUACUAAAAGUGAAAGGAUGAAUAAAGAUCCUACGUGCAAUAGAAACCAAAAGAAAGCCAGGUAACUAUACUCAUAACAGACAAGAUAGACCCUGAGCCAAAUACUGUUAUCAAGACAAAGAAGGUCAGUAUAUAAUGAUAAAAUAGGUCAUCAAGAGGGUUUAACAGUUGUAAAUAUUUAUGCACAUAACAUUGGCAUACCUUAAUAUAUUAAGCAAUAUUAAUAGACCUAAAAGAAGAAAUAGAUAGCAAUAAUAGAUGAGUUCAAUACACUGCUUUCAAGAAUGGAUAGAUUAUACAGACAGAAAAUCAGUAAUGAAGCAAAGAACCUAAACUACAUGUUUAUCAACAGCAGUAGAAUACAUAUUCUUCUUAAGUGAGCAUGGAACCUUCAUGAAGAUAGUCAUAUGUUGGGCCACAGAACAAGUCUUAAUGAAUUUAUGAAGACUAAAAUCAUAUCAAGUGGGAUGCGUGGGUGGCUUAGCUGUUGAGUGUCUGCCUUCGGCUCAGGGCGUGGUCCUGGAGACCCUGGAUCGAGUCCCGCAUCAGGCUCCCUGCAUGGAGCCUGCUUCUCCCUCUGCCUGUGUCUUUACCUCUCUCUCUCUGUCUUUCAUGAAUAAAUAAAUAAAAUAUUUUUUAAAAAAUCAUAUCAAGUAUCUUUUCUGACCACAAUGGUAGAAAUAAGAAAUCAGUUAUAACAAGAAAACUGAAAAAUUCACAAAUAUGUGGAGAUUAAAUAUGUUACUGAGUGAUCAGUGGGGGAAAGAAUAAAUCAAUAGAGAGAUCAAAGCAUAUUCUGAGACAAAUGAAAAUGGAAUCACAAUGUAACAAAACAUAGGAUGCAGCAAAAGCAGUUCUAAGAGAAAAGUUUAUAGAAGGGCGCCUGGAUAGCUAGCUCAGUUGGCUAAAUGUCCAAAUCUUGAUUUUGGCUCAGGUCAUGAUCUCAGGAUUGUGAAAUGGAGCCCUCACAUGAAGCCUGCUUAGGAUUCUCUCUCUCUCCCUCUCUUAAAAAAAAAGAGGAAAGUUUAUAGAAAGAAAUGCCAUAAUAAAAAGAGAGAAAGAGAGAUAAAAAAAACAACAUUACACAUCAAAGUAUUAGAAAAAGAACAAAAUUCUUUUAGCCCAAGAUAAGUAGAAGAAAAGAAAUAACAAAGAUCAAAUUGGAAAUAAAUGAAAUAGAGGUUUAAAAGAGAGAGAGAAAACAUCAAUGAAUAAAACUAAGAGCCAGUUUUCUGAAAAGAUAAACAAAACUAACAACUUUCAACUACUUUAACUACACUAAUUUUACAAAGAGGGAAAAGUCAAACCAAAUCAGAAAUGAGAGGAGAAUGUAUAACUGAUGCCACAGAAAUACAAAAGAUCAUAAGAGACUACUGUGAACAAUUAUGUGCCAAAAAAUUAGAUAACCUAGAAGAAUGGAUACAUUCCUAGAAACAUGCAACCUACCAAGACUGCAUCAUGAAGAAACAGAAAAUCUGAAAAGAUCAGUUAUUAGCAAGGAGAUUGAACCAGUAAUCAAAACCUCCCAAUAAAGAAAAGUCUAGGACCAGAUAGCUUCAAUAGUGUAUUCUACUAAACAUUUAAACAAGAAUCAAUACCAAUUAUUCUCAAGCUCUUUCAAAAAACAGAAGAGGAAGGAACACUUCUAAACUCAUUUUAAGAGGCCAGCUUUACCUUGAUACCAAAACCAAACAAGGACACUACAAGAAAUGAAAAUUACAGGGCAAUAUUACUGAUGAACAUAGACACAAAAAUUCUCAACAAAAUAUUAGCAAACUGAAUUCAAUGGGGCAUUAAAAGGAUCAUAAGUCAUGAUCAAGUGGGACUUAUUUGAGGGAUGCAAGGACAGUUCAGAGUCUGCAAAUCAAUCAAUGUUAACAAAAUGAAAGUUAGCAAUCAUGAUCAUCUUGAUAGAGGCAGAAAAAGCAUUCACAAAAAUCCAAACUUCUUUUAUGAUAAAAACUAUUAACUAACUGGGUGUGGAAGGAACAUACUUCAACAUAAUAAAAACACAUAUGACAAACCCACAGCAAACUUCAUACAUAGUGGCAAAAGGAAGCACUGGCUAGAACUGUUGAAACCACUUUAUGUUUUGCAUUUUGGCCUGUUUCUUUUCAAUGUCUUCUCUAUCUUCUCUUGUUCAU